This 492-nucleotide ribosomal RNA is filed under the name uncultured bacterium. Its description in RNAcentral is "partial 16S ribosomal RNA". It matches the Rfam family "Bacterial small subunit ribosomal RNA", at positions 29 to 507 of the family's 1533-position model. The record is from RNAcentral.
AGUGAACGCUGGCGGCAGGCCUAACACAUGCAAGUCGAACGGAAGGACAGUAAGAGCUUGCCCUUACGGGUGGCGAGUGGCGGACGGGUGAGGAAUAGAUAGGAAUCUAAUAUUACGGGGGGGAUAACGUAGGGAAACUUACGAUAAUACAGCAUAUGACCUACGGGAGAAAGCAGGGGAGCAACGGAGCUUGCGCGACUGAAUGAGCCGAUGUCGGAUUAGCUAGUUGGCGGGGUAAAGGAACACCAAGGCGACGAUCCGUAGCUGGUCUGAGAGGAUGAUCCGCCACACUGGAACUGAGACACGGUCCAGACUCCUACGGGAGGCAGCAGUAGGGAAUAUUGGGCAAUGGGCGCAAGCCUGAUCCAGCCAUGCCGCGUGGGUGAAGAAGGCCUUCGGGUUGUAAAACCCUUUUAUUGGGAAAGAAAAGCUGCAUGUUUAUACCCCGCUGUUCUGACGGUACCCAAAGAAUAAGCACCGGCUAACUUCGUG